This 704-nucleotide ribosomal RNA is filed under the name uncultured bacterium. Its description in RNAcentral is "bacterial SSU rRNA". It matches the Rfam family "Bacterial small subunit ribosomal RNA", at positions 714 to 1418 of the family's 1533-position model. The record is from RNAcentral.
GGCGAAAGCGGCUCUNUGGUCUGUCACUGACGCUGAGGCUCGAAAGCGUGGGUAGCGAACAGGAUUAGAUACCCUGGUAGUCCACGCCGUAAACGAUGAGUGCUAGGUGUUAGGCCCUUUCCGGGGCUUAGUGCCGGAGCUAACGCAAUAAGCACUCCGCCUGGGGAGUACGACCGCAAGGUUGAAACUCAAAGGAAUUGACGGGGGCCCGCACAAGCGGUGGAGCAUGUGGUUUAAUUCGAAGCAACGCGAAGAACCUUACCAGGUCUUGACAUCCCGAUGCUAUUCUUAGAGAUAGGAAGUUACUUCGGUACAUCGGAGACAGGUGGUGCAUGGUUGUCGUCAGCUCGUGUCGUGAGAUGUUGGGUUAAGUCCCGCAACGAGCGCAACCCUUAUUGUUAGUUGCCAUCAUUAAGUUGGGCACUCUAGCGAGACUGCCGGUAAUAAACCGGAGGAAGGUGGGGAUGACGUCAAAUCAUCAUGCCCCUUAUGACCUGGGCUACACACGUGCUACAAUGGUCGGUACAACGAGUUGCGAGCCGGUGACGGCAAGCUAAUCUCUGAAAGCCGAUCUCAGUUCGGAUUGGAGGCUGCAACUCGCCUCCAUGAAGUCGGAACCGCUAGUAAUCGCGGAUCAGCACGCCGCGGUGAAUACGUUCCCGGGCCUUGUACACNCCGCCCGUCACACCACGAGAGUUUGUAAC